GCUGGGCAUGGUGGCACAUGCCUGUAAUCCCAGCUACUCAGGAGGCUGAGGCAGGAGAAUUGCUUGAACCCAGGAGGCGGAGGUUGCAGUGAGCCAAGAUCAUGCCACUGCACUUCAGCCUGGGUGACAGAGCAAGACUCUGUCUCAA
Molecule: signal recognition particle RNA, 148 nt
Filed under: Homo sapiens (human)
Lineage: Eukaryota; Metazoa; Chordata; Mammalia; Primates; Hominidae
Description: Metazoan signal recognition particle RNA
Rfam family: Metazoan signal recognition particle RNA
About the family: The signal recognition particle (SRP) is a universally conserved ribonucleoprotein. It is involved in the co-translational targeting of proteins to membranes.
Source: Rfam by way of RNAcentral